Molecule: ribosomal RNA, 1822 nt
Filed under: Dracunculus medinensis (Guinea worm)
Lineage: Eukaryota; Metazoa; Nematoda; Chromadorea; Rhabditida; Dracunculidae
Description: SSU rRNA
Rfam family: Eukaryotic small subunit ribosomal RNA
Source: RNAcentral
UUCUCCGAUUGAUUCUGUCGGCGAUUAUAUGCUUAUCUCAAAGGCUAAGCCAUGCAUGUCAAAGUUCAUACUGCCUUAAAUGGUGAAACCGCGAACGGCUCAUUACAACAGCUAUUAUAUACUUGAUCUUGAUUUCCUACGUGGAUAACUGUGGUAAUUCUAGAGCUAAUACAUGCACCAAAGCUCCGAUUUUAUUGACGAGCGCAUCUAUUAGAUUAAAACCAAUCGAGCUUUAAACGGCUCGUUAAUUGGUGACUCUGAAUAGCUUAGCUGAUCGCAUGGUCUAGUACCGGCGACAUAUCUAUCAAGUAUCUGCCUUAUCAACUUUCGAUGGUAGUUUAUGUGCCUACCAUGGUUGUAACGGGUAACGGAGAAUAAGGGUUCGACUCCGGAGAGGGAGCCUGAGAAACGGCUACCACUUCCAAGGAAGGCAGCAGGCGCGCAAAUUACCCACUCUCAGCAAGAGGAGGUAGUGACGAAAAAUAACGAGACCGUUCUCAUUGAGGCCGGUUAUCGGAAUGGGUACAAUUUAAACCUGUUAACGAGGACCUAUGAGAGGGCAAGCCUGGUGCCAGCAGCCGCGGUAACUCCAGCUCUCAAAGUGUAUAUCGUUAUUGCUGCGGUUAAAAAGCUCGUAGUUGGAAUCCAGCUUGACGACAUGGUCCAUUUAUUGGAUGUGAACUAUGAUCGUAGGCUAAUCUAUGUUGGUUUUCCUUGCGUUACCUUGAUCGGUCGCGUAAGGUGGCUAGCGAGUUUACCUUGAAAAAAUUAGAGUGCUUAAUGCGGGCUUAAAAGCCUGAAUAUUCGUGCAUGGAAUAAUAGAAUAGGAUCUCGGUUCUAUUUUGUUGGUUUUCUGAUCUGAGAUAAUGGUUAAGAGGGACAGACGGGGGCAUUCGUACCGCUGCGUGAGAGGUGAAAUUCUUGGACCGUAGCGAGACGUCCCACUGCGAAAGCAUUUGCCAAGAAUGUCUUCAUUAAUCAAGAACGAAAGUCAGAGGUUCGAAGGCGAUCAGAUACCGCCCUAGUUCUGACCGUAAACGAUACCAACUAGCGUUCCGUCAGUGGUAAUUACGCCUUGACGGGCAGCUUACCGGAAACGAAAGUUUUUCGGUUCCGGGGGAAGUAUGGUUGCAAAGCUGAAACUUAAAGAAAUGACGGAAGGGCACCACCAGGGGUGGAGCCUGCGGCUUAAUUUGACUCAACACGGGAAAACUCACCUGGCCCGGACACCGUGAGGAUUGACAGAUUGAGAGCUCUUUCUUGAUUCGGUGGUUGGUGGUGCAUGGCCGUUCUUAGUUGGUGGAGUGAUUUGUCUGGUUUAUUCCGAUAACGAGCGAGACUCUAGCCUACUAAAUAGUCGGCAAAUAACUCGUGAAAUGUUUGUGCGACUUCUUAGAGGGACAAGCGGUGUUCAGCCGCAUGAAGUUGAGCAAUAACAGGUCUGUGAUGCCCUUAGAUGUCCAGGGCUGCACGCGCGCUACACUGGAGGAAUCAACGUGCUAUGUCCAUUGUCGAAAGGCAUUGGUAACCCGUUGAAAAUCCUCCGUGCUCGGGAUAGGGAAUUGCAAUUAUUUCCCUUGAACGAGGAAUCCCUAGUAAGUGUGAGUCAUCAGCUCACGCUGAUUACGUCCCUGCCCUUUGUACACACCGCCCGUCGCUGCCCGGGACUGAGCCGUUUCGAGAAAAGCGGAGACUGCUGUAUUGAAGCCGAAUAUUUGCGGUGGAAAUACUCUGGUGGAAAUCGCCUUAAUCGCAGUGGCUGAACCGGGCAAAAGUCGUAACAAGGGUUUCCGUAGGUGAACCUGCAGAAGGGAUCAAGCAG